AACCAUAAACGCAGCAAUAGAUAGAGCAAGAAGGAUUCCAAGACAUGUUGCCCUAGGGAGGGUGAUUAGAAGUAAGAAGGAUAAAAGGCCAGUAUUUGCAAUCACAUAUGACCACAGGAUACCCCCAAUACAGAAUAUCCAGGCCAAGCACUGGAUGUCUAUGGUGGCACAGCCAUGAGGUAUUUGCAAAACCACCUCUUACUGUAUUUAGGAGGCAAAGGAAUCUCAGGGAUCACCUGAU
RNAcentral lists this ribosomal RNA (241 nucleotides) under uncultured eukaryote. RNAcentral describes it as "partial 18S ribosomal RNA". The record is from RNAcentral.